CCCCAGACUCCUACGGGAGGCAGCAGUGGGGGAUAUUGCACAAUGGGGGAAACCCUGAUGCAGCGACGCCGCGUGAGUGAAGAAGUAUUUCGGUAUGUAAAGCUCUAUCAGCAGGGAAGAAAAAAGACGGUACCUGACUAAGAAGCCCCGGCUAACUACGUGCCAGCAGCCGCGGUAAUACGUAGGGGGCAAGCGUUAUCCGGAUUUACUGGGUGUAAAGGGAGCGUAGGCGGUUUAGCAAGUCAGAAGUGAAAGCCCGGGGCUCAACUCCGGGACUGCUUUUGAAACUGUUGAACUAGAUUGCAGGAGAGGUAAGUGGAAUUCCUAGUGUAGCGGUGAAAUGCGUAGAUAUUAGGAGGAACACCAGUGGCGAAGGCGGCCUGCUGGACGAUGACUGACGUUGAGGCUCGAAAGCGUGGGGAGCAAACAGGAUUAGAUACCCCAGUAC
Molecule: ribosomal RNA, 448 nt
Filed under: uncultured bacterium
Lineage: Bacteria
Description: bacterial SSU rRNA
Rfam family: Bacterial small subunit ribosomal RNA
Source: RNAcentral